Molecule: ribosomal RNA, 460 nt
Filed under: uncultured bacterium
Lineage: Bacteria
Description: partial 16S ribosomal RNA
Rfam family: Bacterial small subunit ribosomal RNA
Source: RNAcentral
CCUACGGGAGGCAGCAGUGAGGAAUCUUGGUCAAUGGACGAGAGUCUGAACGAGCCAAGUAGCGUGAAGGAUGACUGCCCUAUGGGUUGUAAACUUCUUUUAUAAAGGAAUAAAACGACGCACGUGUGCCUUUUUGCAUGUACUUUAUGAAUAAGGAUCGGCUAACUCCGUUCCAGCAGCCGCGGUAAUACAGAGGAUCCGAGUGUUAUCCGGAUUUAUUGGGUUUAAGGGGAGCGUAGAUGGGUUGUUAAGUCAGUUGUGAAAGUGUGCGGCUCAACCGUAAAAUGGCAAUUGAUACUGGGAGUCUUGAGUACAGUAGAGGGAAGCGGAAUUCGUGGUGUAGCGGUGAAAUGCUUAGAUAUCACGAAGAACCCCGGUUGCGAAGGCAGCUUACUAAACUGUAACUGACAUUGAUGCUCGAAAGUGUGGGUAGCAAACAGGAUUAGAUACCCCAGUAGUC